This 2158-nucleotide ribosomal RNA is filed under the name Staphylococcus aureus. RNAcentral's name for it is "partial 23S ribosomal RNA". It matches the Rfam family "Bacterial large subunit ribosomal RNA", at positions 12 to 2168 of the family's 2925-position model. Lineage: Bacteria; Bacillati; Bacillota; Bacilli; Caryophanales; Staphylococcaceae. The record is from RNAcentral.
UAAGGGCGCACGGUGGAUGCCUUGGCACUAGAAGCCGAUGAAGGACGUUACUAACGACGAUAUGCUUUGGGGAGCUGUAAGUAAGCUUUGAUCCAGAGAUUUCCGAAUGGGGAAACCCAGCAUGAGUUAUGUCAUGUUAUCGAUAUGUGAAUACAUAGCAUAUCAGAAGGCACACCCGGAGAACUGAAACAUCUUAGUACCCGGAGGAAGAGAAAGAAAAUUCGAUUCCCUUAGUAGCGGCGAGCGAAACGGGAAGAGCCCAAACCAACAAGCUUGCUUGUUGGGGUUGUAGGACACUCUAUACGGAGUUACAAAGGACGACAUUAGACGAAUCAUCUGGAAAGAUGAAUCAAAGAAGGUAAUAAUCCUGUAGUCGAAAAUGUUGUCUCUCUUGAGUGGAUCCUGAGUACGACGGAGCACGUGAAAUUCCGUCGGAAUCUGGGAGGACCAUCUCCUAAGGCUAAAUACUCUCUAGUGACCGAUAGUGAACCAGUACCGUGAGGGAAAGGUGAAAAGCACCCCGGAAGGGGAGUGAAAUAGAACCUGAAACCGUGUGCUUACAAGUAGUCAGAGCCCGUUAAUGGGUGAUGGCGUGCCUUUUGUAGAAUGAACCGGCGAGUUACGAUUUGAUGCAAGGUUAAGCAGUAAAUGUGGAGCCGUAGCGAAAGCGAGUCUGAAUAGGGCGUUUAGUAUUUGGUCGUAGACCCGAAACCAGGUGAUCUACCCUUGGUCAGGUUGAAGUUCAGGUAACACUGAAUGGAGGACCGAACCGACUUACGUUGAAAAGUGAGCGGAUGAACUGAGGGUAGCGGAGAAAUUCCAAUCGAACCUGGAGAUAGCUGGUUCUCUCCGAAAUAGCUUUAGGGCUAGCCUCAAGUGAUGAUUAUUGGAGGUAGAGCACUGUUUGGACGAGGGGCCCCUCUCGGGUUACCGAAUUCAGACAAACUCCGAAUGCCAAUUAAUUUAACUUGGGAGUCAGAACAUGGGUGAUAAGGUCCGUGUUCGAAAGGGAAACAGCCCAGACCACCAGCUAAGGUCCCAAAAUAUAUGUUAAGUGGAAAAGGAUGUGGCGUUGCCCAGACAACUAGGAUGUUGGCUUAGAAGCAGCCAUCAUUUAAAGAGUGCGUAAUAGCUCACUAGUCGAGUGACACUGCGCCGAAAAUGUACCGGGGCUAAACAUAUUACCGAAGCUGUGGAUUGUCCUUUGGACAAUGGUAGGAGAGCGUUCUAAGGGCGUUGAAGCAUGAUCGUAAGGACAUGUGGAGCGCUUAGAAGUGAGAAUGCCGGUGUGAGUAGCGAAAGACGGGUGAGAAUCCCGUCCACCGAUUGACUAAGGUUUCCAGAGGAAGGCUCGUCCGCUCUGGGUUAGUCGGGUCCUAAGCUGAGGCCGACAGGCGUAGGCGAUGGAUAACAGGUUGAUAUUCCUGUACCACCUAUAAUCGUUUUAAUCGAUGGGGGGACGCAGUAGGAUAGGCGAAGCGUGCGAUUGGAUUGCACGUCUAAGCAGUAAGGCUGAGUAUUAGGCAAAUCCGGUACUCGUUAAGGCUGAGCUGUGAUGGGGAGAAGACAUUGUGUCUUCGAGUCGUUGAUUUCACACUGCCGAGAAAAGCCUCUAGAUAGAAAAUAGGUGCCCGUACCGCAAACCGACACAGGUAGUCAAGAUGAGAAUUCUAAGGUGAGCGAGCGAACUCUCGUUAAGGAACUCGGCAAAAUGACCCCGUAACUUCGGGAGAAGGGGUGCUCUUUAGGGUUAACGCCCAGAAGAGCCGCAGUGAAUAGGCCCAAGCGACUGUUUAUCAAAAACACAGGUCUCUGCUAAACCGUAAGGUGAUGUAUAGGGGCUGACGCCUGCCCGGUGCUGGAAGGUUAAGAGGAGUGGUUAGCUUCUGCGAAGCUACGAAUCGAAGCCCCAGUAAACGGCGGCCGUAACUAUAACGGUCCUAAGGUAGCGAAAUUCCUUGUCGGGUAAGUUCCGACCCGCACGAAAGGCGUAACGAUUUGGGCACUGUCUCAACGAGAGACUCGGUGAAAUCAUAGUACCUGUGAAGAUGCAGGUUACCCGCGACAGGACGGAAAGACCCCGUGGAGCUUUACUGUAGCCUGAUAUUGAAAUUCGGCACAGCUUGUACAGGAUAGGUAGGAGCCUUUGAAACGUGAG